UACGUAGGGUGCAAGCGUUGUUCGGAAUUACUGGGCGUAAAGGGCUCGUAGGCGGCCAACUAAGUCGGACGUGAAAUCCCCAGGCUCAACCUGGGAACUGCGUCCGAUACUGGAUGGCUUGAAUUCGGGAGAGGGAUGCAGAAUUCCAGGUGUAGCGGUGAAAUGCGUAGAUAUCUGGAGGAAUACCGGUGGCGAAGGCGGCAUCCUGGACCGACAUUGACGCUGAGGAGCGAAAGCUAGGGGAGCAAACGGG
This 253-nucleotide ribosomal RNA is filed under the name uncultured bacterium. Its description in RNAcentral is "partial 16S ribosomal RNA". It matches the Rfam family "Bacterial small subunit ribosomal RNA", at positions 524 to 776 of the family's 1533-position model. The record is from RNAcentral.